AAAGACGGUCUUGCUGUCACUUAUAGAUGGAUCCGCGCUGCAUUAGCUAGUUGGUAAGGUAACGGCUUACCAAGGCAACGAUGCAUAGCCGACCUGAGAGGGUGAUCGGCCACACUGGAACUGAGACACGGUCCAGACUCCUACGGGAGGCAGCAGUAGGGAAUCUUCCGCAAUGGGCGAAAGCCUGACGGAGCAACGCCGCGUGAGUGAUGAAGGUCUUCGGAUCGUAAAACUCUGUUAUUAGGGAAGAACAUAUGUGUAAGUAACUGUGCACAUCUUGACGGUACCUAAUCAGAAAGCCACGGCUAACUACGUGCCAGCAGCCGCGGUAAUACGUAGGUGGCAAGCGUUAUCCGGAAUUAUUGGGCGUAAAGCGCGCGUAGGCGGUUUUUUAAGUCUGAUGUGAAAGCCCACGGCUCAACCGUGGAGGGUCAUUGGAAACUGGAAAACUUGAGUGCAGAAGAGGAAAGUGGAAUUCCAUGUGUAGCGGUGAAAUGCGCAGAGAUAUGGAGGAACACCAGUGGCGAAGGCGACUUUCUGGUCUGUAACUGACGCUGAUGUGCGAAAGCGUGGGGAUCAAACAGGAUUAGAUACCCUGGUAGUCCACGCCGUAAACGAUGAGUGCUAAGUGUUAGGGGGUUUCCGCCCCUUAGUGCUGCAGCUAACGCAUUAAGCACUCCGCCUGGGGAGUACGACCGCAAGGUUGAAACUCAAAGGAAUUGACGGGGACCCGCACAAGCGGUGGAGCAUGUGGUUUAAUUCGAAGCAACGCGAAGAACCUUACCAAAUCUUGACAUCCUUUGACAACUCUAGAGAUAGAGCCUUCCCCUUCGGGGGACAAAGUGACAGGUGGUGCAUGGUUGUCGUCAGCUCGUGUCAUGAGAUGUUGGGUUAAGUCCCGCAACGAGCGCAACCCUUAAGCUUAGUUGCCAUCAUUAAGUUGGGCACUCUAAGUUGACUGCCGGUGACAAACCGGAGGAAGGUGGGGAUGACGUCAAAUCAUCAUGCCCCUUAUGAUUUGGGCUACACACGUGCUACAAUGGACAAUACAAAGGGCAGCGAAACCGCGAGGUCAAGCAAAUCCCAUAAAGUUGUUCUCAGUUCGGAUUGUAGUCUGCAACUCGACUACAUGAAGCUGGAAUCGCUAGUAAUCGUAGAUCAGCAUGCUACGGUGAAUACGUUCCCGGGUCUUGUACACACCGCCCGUCACACCACGAGAGUUUGUAACACCCGAAGCCGGUGGAGUAACCUUUUAGGAGCUAGCCGUCGAAGGUGGGACAAAUGAUUGGGGUGAAGUCGUAACAAGGUAGCCGUAUCGGAAGGUGCGGCUGGAUCACCU
This 1339-nucleotide ribosomal RNA is filed under the name Staphylococcus aureus M1236. RNAcentral's name for it is "bacterial SSU rRNA". It matches the Rfam family "Bacterial small subunit ribosomal RNA", at positions 202 to 1528 of the family's 1533-position model. Lineage: Bacteria; Bacillati; Bacillota; Bacilli; Caryophanales; Staphylococcaceae. The record is from RNAcentral.